This 447-nucleotide ribosomal RNA is filed under the name Tetrahymena borealis. Its description in RNAcentral is "SSU rRNA". It matches the Rfam family "Bacterial small subunit ribosomal RNA", at positions 977 to 1391 of the family's 1533-position model. Lineage: Eukaryota; Ciliophora; Oligohymenophorea; Hymenostomatida; Tetrahymenidae. The record is from RNAcentral.
ACGUUUUAGGCUUUAUUAGUAAUAUGGUUAACACUAUAAUUAAUAGGUAAAGUACGGAAUUGCAUGGCUGUCGUCAGUUCGUGCUGUGAAGUUUAGGAUUAAGUUCUUUUCAACGAAUGUAACCCUAUAAGUAAGUUUUUAUAAUGUACAAAAUAAAUGUAUAAUAUAUACUUAUUUAAUCUAUAACUGAAUAUAUUGAAAUCUUUUUUGUAUAUUUAGUUAUAGGGGUUUUAGGCUGAAGUCAAGUCCCUAUGGUCUUUAUACGUUGGGCUACACACGUGUUACAAGGGUAAAAACAAAGAGACGCAAUAGAGUAAUCUGGAGCAAAUCUCUAAAAAUUAUCUUAGUUCAGAUUGUUUCAUGAAAUUCUGAAACAUGAAGAUGAAAUCGUUAGUAAUUGUAAAUUAUUAUGUUACAGUGAAAUAUUAGUCAAAUUUUGCACACACC